Molecule: ribosomal RNA, 1093 nt
Filed under: Vibrio parahaemolyticus
Lineage: Bacteria; Pseudomonadati; Pseudomonadota; Gammaproteobacteria; Vibrionales; Vibrionaceae
Description: bacterial SSU rRNA
Rfam family: Bacterial small subunit ribosomal RNA
Source: RNAcentral
UUCAGUCGUGAGGAAGGUAGUGUAGUUAAUAGCUGCAUUAUUUGACGUUAGCGACAGAAGAAGCACCGGCUAACUCCGUGCCAGCAGCCGCGGUAAUACGGAGGGUGCGAGCGUUAAUCGGAAUUACUGGGCGUAAAGCGCAUGCAGGUGGUUUGUUAAGUCAGAUGUGAAAGCCCGGGGCUCAACCUCGGAAUUGCAUUUGAAACUGGCAGACUAGAGUACUGUAGAGGGGGGUAGAAUUUCAGGUGUAGCGGUGAAAUGCGUAGAGAUCUGAAGGAAUACCGGUGGCGAAGGCGGCCCCCUGGACAGAUACUGACACUCAGAUGCGAAAGCGUGGGGAGCAAACAGGAUUAGAUACCCUGGUAGUCCACGCCGUAAACGAUGUCUACUUGGAGGUUGUGGCCUUGAGCCGUGGCUUUCGGAGCUAACGCGUUAAGUAGACCGCCUGGGGAGUACGGUCGCAAGAUUAAAACUCAAAUGAAUUGACGGGGGCCCGCACAAGCGGUGGAGCAUGUGGUUUAAUUCGAUGCAACGCGAAGAACCUUACCUACUCUUGACAUCCAGAGAACUUUCCAGAGAUGGAUUGGUGCCUUCGGGAACUCUGAGACAGGUGCUGCAUGGCUGUCGUCAGCUCGUGUUGUGAAAUGUUGGGUUAAGUCCCGCAACGAGCGCAACCCUUAUCCUUGUUUGCCAGCGAGUAAUGUCGGGAACUCCAGGGAGACUGCCGGUGAUAAACCGGAGGAAGGUGGGGACGACGUCAAGUCAUCAUGGCCCUUACGAGUAGGGCUACACACGUGCUACAAUGGCGCAUACAGAGGGCAGCCAACUUGCGAAAGUGAGCGAAUCCCAAAAAGUGCGUCGUAGUCCGGAUUGGAGUCUGCAACUCGACUCCAUGAAGUCGGAAUCGCUAGUAAUCGUGGAUCAGAAUGCCACGGUGAAUACGUUCCCGGGCCUUGUACACACCGCCCGUCACACCAUGGGAGUGGGCUGCAAAAGAAGUAGGUAGUUUAACCUUCGGGGGGACGCUUACCACUUUGUGGUUCAUGACUGGGGUGAAGUCGUAACAAGGUAGCGCUAGGGGAACCUGGCGCUG